This 253-nucleotide ribosomal RNA is filed under the name uncultured bacterium. Its description in RNAcentral is "partial 16S ribosomal RNA". It matches the Rfam family "Bacterial small subunit ribosomal RNA", at positions 524 to 776 of the family's 1533-position model. The record is from RNAcentral.
GACAGAGGGUGCAAACGUUGUUCGGAAUUACUGGGCGUAAAGCGCGUGUAGGCGGCUUGGCAAGUCGGGUGUGAAAGCCCUGGGCUCAACCCAGGAAGUGCACUCGAAACUGCUUCGCUCGAGUAUCGGAGAGGAAAGCGGAAUUCUCGGUGUAGAGGUGAAAUUCGUAGAUAUCGAGAGGAACACCGGUGGCGAAGGCGGCCUUCUGGACAGUGACUGACGCUGAGACGCGAAAGCGUGGGGAGCAAACAGG